Harpia harpyja (harpy eagle) is the source of this 1889-nucleotide long non-coding RNA. RefSeq lists it as uncharacterized. The transcript is spliced from 3 exons. NCBI's taxonomy places the organism in Eukaryota, Metazoa, Chordata, Aves, Accipitriformes, Accipitridae. The record is from RefSeq and is a predicted model, not a curated record.
GGGGAAGGCACAUCCCGGCCGGCCUGAGCCCCGCUGCAGACGCGCCCCCGGGGCCGGGAGCUGGCCCGCCCCGACGGGGCGCUGCCCGCCAGCCUCUCGAAAGUUGGUUAGGUGAUGUGGAGCCACACAUCAUCAGUCCUUCACUAUCUGGAGCUAUCUAACUUCCUUGUGCAGCCUCCCACUCGCCUCUCCACUGUCUGCUCCAUCUGGAGGGAGCUGGCUGCUCUCCUCCAGCCCCGGCUCCCCGAGCGCAAGGCAGCCUGCAGCUGCCAGAACAUCUGCUGUCUCCUGGCCUCGCUGGGGUUUCUGCACAGGGCAGGACGCAGUCUGCAUAAUUAGUGCGGCUCUUCCAGGAUCAAAUCCUGGACCUGGAGCACAGUGUGAACAACCGGGAGAUGCAGAAGGUGUUCUGCAAUUGGCUUUAUCCAACCUGUGCCGGCACAGAGCUUUUUGGGCCUCUCAAGAGUGUGUCUGAACUGACAUGUUGGCUUGAAAUGCAAGCCAACACAUGGCUUCAUCCCCUGAAUGUCCCCCACUGCUUAUACUUUUGCUUGCUCAAACCUCGAGCUACUUUGGCUUAAGUCUGGAGCGAACAAAUGGGCUCCCUUUGGAAGAAACCGCAAGCACAGAGGAGGUUGACCCUUAUUCAGGCUCUCUCCUGUGGGGCUGGAGGAGCUCUUGACUGUAUGAACUCAAACUUCAACUUGAGGUGAGACGUUCCUGCAGGCAGAGCUGCUCCCCGGAGGCACCCAGCAGACACAAACACACUGGUCCUGCCCCUUCCCCUGGGGCCCUCACAGCCCCUUUGUACAGAGGAAAGAGGGGACUCCUGGCUGAAAACAAUCUUGCAGAAAAUGGGGCUCAAGAGCCUUUUACAGUUUCCCCAAGUCCACUGCCGUCCUCCUCCAUGUCCUUACUGCGACAUGUUGGCACGUACUGUCCCCUUCACCGCGCACGGAGGCAGGACCUGGCUUUAAAGGAGGAAGUGAUUAAUGCUGAAAGUAGAAUACAAAAUGUGUGUUUCCAAUGGAGUGGGAUGGAGAGUCCCCUAAUAGGGGCACUGCCGGAAUACAGAACAAGACCAUUCUGAAGAAUUGUGCGGGUCUAGAAAGAAGAUAGAAGCAACUGCUACUCAAUUUAUAGUAUUGCGACUCAAAGCUAAGUAGUCGUAAGUAGAAUACACAGUAAAUGUAUAUUUAGCUGUAGUUAAAAGUGAAACUUAAUAUCCUAUGUUAGUACAUAGUACUCUCUUACCAAGAAAACUAAUUUAUAGGUAAAGAAACAGAGCUUAAAACUAAGAGACUGUGUGUUUUUAAAUAACCGAAGUAAAAUGCAUACUUACUUACCUUUUAUUCUCCUGCUGUGUGCGCCGUGAGCUGGUCCAGGGAGUUCUAUGAGGUAAGAAAUUCCUGUUCAACAAAAGUUCCUUUUCUAAAAAAAGUGAACAUAAUGGAAACGGGGAACCACUUACCAGGCAGCUGAAAAAGGAGCUGACUGUGCAGAGAAUUUCACACCUUAUGGCUUUUGGUCAGUAAAGUACAUAAACAAAAUGUAAUUUUCUAUGCAAUUACACAGGGUCACACAAGAAUAUUAUGUUUUAGAAACGCACUCAAAAGCAUAUUGCUCUCUAAGAGCCCAAUCCGGAAAAUGGUUCCUCACUUCAGUAAAGUUGCUCAUAAGCAUUUCUGGGAGUGAGGCCUAGGAGACAUUUUCCUUUUUAUGCUUUCUUAAACAGUUUAUGUGAUAGUAACAACAGGAAGAUAAAUUACUUUGAAUGGUAGCAAUUAGAGAAAUAAGGAGCGUGAUAGAUUUACCAUGUGGAAAACAUCUCUCACACAUUUUCUUACAGUCAUUAAACCUACUUUUAAUGACACAACACUGAUUUCAGA